Molecule: long non-coding RNA, 203 nt
Organism: Mirounga angustirostris (Northern elephant seal)
Lineage: Eukaryota; Metazoa; Chordata; Mammalia; Carnivora; Phocidae
Exons: 3
Source: RefSeq, a predicted model, not a curated record
AAUAUAAGGUUCAGAAAUGCUCAAAGACCUAUGUCAGCCUGAAUUCCUCUCCAUUUGCUCUCCGAAUCAGGGUGCUGUAACUGAAUGCUGAGUUGGAAAGAUGUGCACACAAUCAACUCUUCCAAGCUGACCUAGCUGGCUCCAGCACAUCACCAAGGUUCUAGAGAAGCAGCACAAUAUAAUAGAAAGAGCACGUGCUUUGG